This 485-nucleotide ribosomal RNA is filed under the name uncultured bacterium. RNAcentral's name for it is "bacterial SSU rRNA". It matches the Rfam family "Bacterial small subunit ribosomal RNA", at positions 30 to 507 of the family's 1533-position model. The record is from RNAcentral.
AUUGAGCGCUGGCGGCAUGCUUUACACAUGCAAGUCGAACGGCAGCGCGGGGGCAACCCUGGCGGCGAGUGGCGAACGGGUGAGUAAUGUAUCGGAACGUAUCCUGUAAUGGGGGAUAACCAGUCGAAAGAUUGGGUAAUACCGCAUACGCACGAGAGUGGAAAGUAGGGGAUCGCAAGACCUUACGUUAUAGGAGCGGCCGAUAUCUGAUUAGCUAGUUGGUGGGGUAAAGGCCUACCAAGGCGACGAUCAGUAGCUGGUCUGAGAGGACGACCAGCCACACUGGGACUGAGACACGGCCCAGACUCCUACGGGAGGCAGCAGUGGGGAAUUUUGGACAAUGGGCGAAAGCCUGAUCCAGCCAUGCCGCGUGCAGGAAGAAGGCCUUCGGGUUGUAAACUGCUUUAGUCUAGGAAAAAGGGGUGCGAGGUUAAUACCCUCGUGCUUUGAUGGUACUGGAAGAAUAAGCACCGGCUAACUACGUG